GGGGGAGCAGGGAACUUUUAUGAUGCCCAAAGAUUUCCCCAAGGCAGAUGUUUCUGCUUUUGGCAGCCUAUUCCUGGAGGGGAAAGCAGAGAGAUGGACUUGCUGUCAUUUGGAAUGACUCUGUCCCUGUGGUGAAGUUGGCCAGCCAGGACUGUGCCCCAGUCUUCAGUUUUAUCCAGCACAGAACAAUUUGGGUACCAGCCCCAAAGAGGACUCCCAACAGUGUGUAUAAGGACUUCAGUUCCUGAAAUUGCUCAUGAAAGGCCUUGGUCAGAAUUUUGGUGGCAAUAGAAAUACUUGAACA
This is a long non-coding RNA of Neofelis nebulosa (Clouded leopard), 304 nucleotides long. RefSeq lists it as uncharacterized. The transcript has 3 exons. The record is from RefSeq and is a predicted model, not a curated record. NCBI's taxonomy places the organism in Eukaryota, Metazoa, Chordata, Mammalia, Carnivora, Felidae.